CUCACAUCCAUCUUAAAUGCAUCACUACGCACUGGCACUUUUCCCAACACAUUCAAGCCGACUUGAGCAACCAACAUUUAAUACCAGACCACCUGCAGACUAGUCUCUCUUCUCCAAUUCACUGCGAAAACCUGACUGAGAUGUUUUCUUCUUUCUUCUCACAGAACAAGCUGCUGUACAGCAAUCAGUGAGGAUUUGACUUGCCUGAGUUGAUUACAAAGUGGACAUUCAACAGAUACGGCCUUGACUGAAGCCUUUGUGGGUGGAAAGUAUAUAAUGCAUCCUCAUUUUGUCGGACUUGUAUGCUGCCUUUGACACUGUCUCUUUUCUAACCUCUCCAACUUGGGCAUCACAAACAAGUGCAGAGAGGCUCCUAAGUCCUACCUUACAGGCAGAUUCUUCAGGGGAUCAUGAGGUAUCAAUUAACCACAGGGGUACAGCAGGGUUCGGUGCUUGGCCCCUGCCUCUUUUCAAAAUAUAUAUUUCUUCUGGGAUCAUCCAGGAUGUGGGUUUUUCAGGAAAACAGCGAGCAGAUGAGGAGUACAAUGGCAUCAUCCUCAUGCUGCGAUACCCGUCCGGAACAAGUUCUGACCUUCCUCAUGCGCACCAUCUUUGUUUCCGCCCGUGGCGACUGUUCAGACCCCAGAGGGGAAGGAAGAGAGCAUGUGUGCCCUCUGCUUUGGUGCUGUGUGUUUUGGAGCCAUCUGUCACAUGGGCCUCUGCCUUCACCUCACUCUUCCUCUCAGUGGAGCGUGGACGGCCCGUGGGCGUGGACGUCUCUUUACGGUCAGUGCGGGCGACAGAUGCUACUGGGGAAGGAGCCAUGUCACCUGGAGAGAUGGGAGAUAUGAUGGGAGCGCUGACGGGACGGGUGUUCUUAUCCGGGGUCGAGACCAUGGCUGUCAGAGAGUUUGUUUGGGACAGAGGAGAAAGAAAAAGGUUUCAGCUCUAGGACUUUCAUGCCUUUUGAAUUGAUCAGGCUCCUGUUGGACUGUGGGAGACGCUCUGCGCUUUAACUCCAACAAACACAAAAACAACUGCUUCAGGACUUUAAUGUCUUCACCAGUGCAUUCUGGGAGUUGUGAUCCACAAGAAUUAACAAUACCAAACUUACCUUCAGUUAAAUGUCUCUUGUCAAUCAAACUACUAAUCAAAACAGCAAUCUGUCUCGCUUUUUCUUCUACAAGCAUCUCAGAGAGGGUCGUUUGCUGAUUGCAUCA
This is a long non-coding RNA of Cyprinus carpio (common carp), 1220 nucleotides long. RefSeq lists it as uncharacterized. The transcript is spliced from 4 exons. NCBI's taxonomy places the organism in Eukaryota, Metazoa, Chordata, Actinopteri, Cypriniformes, Cyprinidae. The record is from RefSeq and is a predicted model, not a curated record.